GGUGAGAUCUGAAGCAAGGAAAGUGCAUGAUCUUUUCUUUGACAUCUUGAAGAUAGAAUUUCCGGAGACUGAUUUUCGAGAAGCAAGGAAUUCCAUUUCUUUUGCUGGACCAGCAGCUUCUACUACACCCGCGUCUUCACGGCUGAUGCCUGUAGGUCAAAACAAGAGACACAAACUGAUAAAUGAAAUGGAACCCGACUCUAGCCCACUGCUGAAGCCGCAGACACGUGGAACACUCCAUGCCGGUGAAGAUGCCAAGGCUAAGAGUCAUAUGGCUCAAAGAGAAACAAGAUUUGGUGGUAGCAGUAGCCGGGAGCUUAGCCAACAGGAUGAUUCACGCCCAUUCACUCAUCCCGGGGAGCUUGUUAUUUGCAAAAAGAAAAGAAAAGAUAGAGAGAAGUUGGGUUUGAAACCCGGGAGUAGUUCUGCUGGUCCUGUCUCACCACCUGGUGUCAGCCGCAGUAUCAGAAGUCCUGGCUCACUCCCAACUGUGAAGGAGGGGGGAAGGUUAAACCAGCAGACACCCCAACAGUUGAAUGGCAGUGGUAGCAGUAGCUCUGUUGGCUGGGCAAACCCUGUGAAGAGAUUGAGAUCAGAUUCUGCAAGAAGACGGCAAAGUCAUUUAUGAUUAUUGUUUUGUUAAAGGUGUACACUGUAAUGCAAGUAGUAGCUGUACUGAGUGAGGUGCUGUGAAUAACCGGCCCUUCGGUAUUUUCAUACCUCCUGACCUGUGUACUUCCCCAUUUCAUCCCCAGCCUCACCUGUAUGAUAAAUUUGCUUUUAAACAUAGGUUUCUU
RNAcentral lists this unclassified non-coding RNA (797 nucleotides) under Hevea brasiliensis (rubber tree). The record is from RNAcentral. Lineage: Eukaryota; Viridiplantae; Streptophyta; Magnoliopsida; Malpighiales; Euphorbiaceae.